This 1385-nucleotide unclassified non-coding RNA is filed under the name Hevea brasiliensis (rubber tree). Lineage: Eukaryota; Viridiplantae; Streptophyta; Magnoliopsida; Malpighiales; Euphorbiaceae. The record is from RNAcentral.
CGAGGAAUCCACUCUUCACGUUGCCAUGCUGCCAUGGCUGGCCUUCGGGCACAUGAAUCCAUUCAUCCAUCUCGCAGCAGCCCUCGCCGACGCCGGUCUCCGUAUCUCCUUCCUCUGCACACCUAACAACAACCGCCGCCUGGCCCAACUCCUCCCACCCCAUCUCCUCCCCCGCAUCAACUUCGUCGACCUCCCCCUCCCGCCUGUCCCCGGCCUACUCCCACAAAUAGAGGCCACUGUUGACGCCUCUGCUGACGAGAUCCAGCAUCUCAAGACCGCCUAUGACCUCUUACAACAACCCAUUAGCAGGUUCAUCGCCGAUUCUGCUCCUGACUUCCUUAUCCACGAUGCACUCACCCACUGGGCAUCCGCCCUCAGAGUUCCGUGCAUCUUGUUCUCUGUCUACUCGGCCUCCACCUUGGCCUUCUGGGGACCGCCGGAGGCAUCCACUGAGGAGGGCCGACUCCGUUGGCGGCCUACGCCGCAGAGCCUCACCGAGACCCCAGAAUGGAUCCCGUUCCCUUCCAGUGUAGCAUUUCGCCAACGUGAGGCGGACAUCUUCUAUGCUGGCGUCUUUGUCGAAAACUCCUCUGGCGUGCACGACGCUGACCGGAUAAGGCUGGCCAUCGAAGGAUGUCAGGCGGUGGCAGUACGUAGUUGCACAGAGUACGAAGGUGAGUACCUGGAGCUGCUGCCAAGGUUGUAUGGAAAACCGGUGCUGACCGUCGGGCUGCUUCCACCGCCGCCGGCCACAGCCUCUGGAGGCGGCGGUGACAUCAUCAGCUGGCUGGACCGACAGCCACCCAAGUCGGUGGUGUUCGUCUGCUUUGGUAGCGAGUACAAGCUGACAAAUGCUGAGGUGGAGGAGCUGGCUCAUGGGAUCGAGAAAUCUCAAGUCCCCUUCUUGUGGGCCUUGAGGGGCUUUGGAGAAGAGGCCCUACCAAAUGGGUUCAUGGGCCGGAUCUCGGGCCGUGGAUUGGUGAGAUUCGGAUGGGUCCCACAGCUGGAGAUUCUGGCCCACGGUUCUGUAGGUGGGUCGUUAUUCCACUCCGGUUGGGGUUCGGUAAUCGAGACAAUGUGUCACGGGCAUGCGAUGGUGUUAUUGCCAUCGAUGGUUGAUCAAGGGUUGAUUGCUAGAUUGUUGGUGGAGAAGGGUUUAGCGGUUGAGGUAGAGAGGAGCAAUGAUGAUGGUUCAUUUAAGGGAGAGGAUAUUGCAAUGUCAUUGAAGGCAUCAAUGGCUUUUGACAAAGGAGAGGUAUGGAGGACGAAAGCGAGAGAGAUGGCUAAUGUGUUCGCUGAUCGAGCGAUUCAUGCUAAUUAUGUCAAGGGUUUCGUGGACUACCUCCUUAAAGCUAAGGGGGUGCACUAGACAAAUUAUUAAGUCG